This is a non-coding RNA of Ceratotherium simum simum (southern white rhinoceros), 100 nucleotides long. NCBI's taxonomy places the organism in Eukaryota, Metazoa, Chordata, Mammalia, Perissodactyla, Rhinocerotidae. The record is from RefSeq and is a predicted model, not a curated record.
CAUGGGGGAGUAGUCUUGUAGGAUUGAGCUCUCAACCUGUGGGAUCUGACACUAUCUCCAGGUAGACAGUGUCAGAAUUGAGGUGAAUUGUAAGAUACCC